This 73-nucleotide transfer RNA is filed under the name Acidiphilium multivorum. Its description in RNAcentral is "tRNA-Ala". It matches the Rfam family "tRNA". From Rfam's summary of the family: Transfer RNA (tRNA) molecules are approximately 80 nucleotides in length. Their secondary structure includes four short double-helical elements and three loops (D, anti-codon, and T loops). Further hydrogen bonds mediate the characteristic L-shaped molecular structure. tRNAs have two regions of fundamental functional importance: the anti-codon, which is responsible for specific mRNA codon recognition, and the 3' end, to which the tRNAs corresponding amino acid is attached (by aminoacyl-tRNA synthetases). tRNAs cope with the degeneracy of the genetic code in two manners: having more than one tRNA (with a specific anti-codon) for a particular amino acid; and 'wobble' base-pairing, i.e. permitting non-standard base-pairing at the 3rd anti-codon position. Lineage: Bacteria; Pseudomonadati; Pseudomonadota; Alphaproteobacteria; Acetobacterales; Acidocellaceae. The record is from RNAcentral.
GGGGCCGUAGCUCAGUUGGUAGAGCGCCUGCUUUGCAAGCAGGAGGUCGUCGGUUCGAUCCCGACCGGCUCCA